GACCUCAACUGGUAGGUCUUUAUGCAGAAAAACACGAUGCACAAUUAAUGAAUAAUGCUACCAUAAGUUAAGGUAAAUGCUGAAAACAAUGCCGCUGUUGUGCUUUCUAUAAUCAUUCAUCCGAUUACCAGAUGUUUACCGACUUAUCAAGAAAUGACUCAACGCUCAAUCGAGCCUCGUUCACGGAAAGAUCCGCCAUCUACACCAUCAUCUAUAAAUAUUUUACGCAAUAAAUCGUUGUUUGACGAAACGUUGUACCAGCAGGACGGAAUUUACGAUCAAGCCAAGAGCACGAGUGAACUUCGAGAAGUCAAGCACGGCAAGCAUAUUAAAUUGAUGCAUAUCUCAUACCUUUGGAACAUAUAUGUGAUUAUGCAGUAUAAUAAAAAUAUGCGAACAUAUGAAGUAUAGAAUUAGAUCGUACUAUGGAAAAUCCGUUUUGUUAUAAUGAAAUACCGUUUUGUAUGAUAGC
Varroa destructor (honeybee mite) is the source of this 472-nucleotide long non-coding RNA. RefSeq lists it as uncharacterized. The record is from RefSeq and is a predicted model, not a curated record. Lineage: Eukaryota; Metazoa; Arthropoda; Arachnida; Mesostigmata; Varroidae.